UAUAAUAGAAUUUGAAGGGAUAUUUUUCGAAAUUCAAAAAGAAGUCAAAAGCAAAUAAAAUUACUUUAAUAAUAUGUUCGUUCAUCGUGAUCUACCCUGAUCUUCAACCACAUUUUACGCAUAGCAAACCUUCCGAAACUCUACCCCUUUCUUUAAUAAAGACAUCUACCACGAAUUCCAGCAAUGAAAUUUGAGGUCUGAAGAGAAGUUGGAAAAAACUGGGGCAAAAAUGGAGAGAAAUCAUACUUGAAAUUAGAACAAUCCAACUGAAAAGAUGUAAAAAACUGAAAAACGAAUUCUUUGAAAAUCUGAUAAAAAAAUAAAGAGAUCAUGCAAAAGGAACAUUUUAAGGAUAAAAGAGAGAAACAAAAUGAAGGAGAUGAACAGAUGAACAAUAACAUAGAAGAAAAACAACCUUGAAUUUCAUCCAUGACAUUGAAAAUUUGAAAAGAAAUGGAAGAUUAAAACAAAAAAAAUGAGAGAAAAGCUUACCUAAAAAUGAAAGAUUCCACUGAGAUGAUGAUGAGAAGUCAAAGAUUAAUCCUUGAAAGUGUAGAGAGUAUAAGAUUUUAAGAGAAAAUGAAACAACCGAUGGUUUCUUGUCAUCAGAGAAAUGCUUCUAGAAUUAUAUGGCCGAAAAAGAUUAAGUUUAGGGAACCAAAUAACAGAUUUACCCUUGAUCAAGAAAUAGAAAUAGAGAU
This 701-nucleotide long non-coding RNA is filed under the name Nicotiana benthamiana. Its description in RNAcentral is "long non-coding RNA (NBEN_LNC012584)". Lineage: Eukaryota; Viridiplantae; Streptophyta; Magnoliopsida; Solanales; Solanaceae. The record is from RNAcentral.